This 466-nucleotide ribosomal RNA is filed under the name uncultured bacterium. RNAcentral describes it as "partial 16S ribosomal RNA". It matches the Rfam family "Bacterial small subunit ribosomal RNA", at positions 28 to 507 of the family's 1533-position model. The record is from RNAcentral.
GAUGAACGCUGGCGGCGUGCUUAACACAUGCAAGUCGAACGAUGAAGCCCAGCUUGCUGGGUGGAUUAGUGGCGAACGGGUGAGUAACACGUGAGUAACCUGCCCUUAACUCUGGGAUAAGCCUGGUAAACUGGGUCUAAUACCGGAUAGGAGCGCCUACCGCAUGGUGGGUGUUGGAAAGAUUUAUCGGUUUUGGAUGGACUCGCGGCCUAUCAGCUUGUUGGUGAGGUAAUGGCUCACCAAGGCGACGACGGGUAGCCGGCCUGAGAGGGUGACCGGCCACACUGGGACUGAGACACGGCCCAGACUCCUACGGGAGGCAGCAGUGGGGAAUAUUGCACAAUGGGCGAAAGCCUGAUGCAGCGACGCCGCGUGAGGGAUGACGGCCUUCGGGUUGUAAACCUCUUUCAGUAGGGAAGAAGCGAAAGUGACGGUACCUGCAGAAGAAGCACCGGCUAACUACGUG